GUGCCAGCAGCCGCGGUAAUACGUAGGUGGCAAGCGUUAUCCGGAAUUAUUGGGCGUAAAGCGCGCGUAGGCGGUUUUUUAAGUCUGAUGUGAAAGCCCACGGCUCAACCGUGGAGGGUCAUUGGAAACUGGAAAACUUGAGUGCAGAAGAGGAAAGUGGAAUUCCAUGUGUAGCGGUGAAAUGCGCAGAGAUAUGGAGGAACACCAGUGGCGAAGGCGACUUUCUGGUCUGUAACUGACGCUGAUGUGCGAAAGCG
Molecule: ribosomal RNA, 257 nt
Filed under: uncultured Staphylococcus sp.
Lineage: Bacteria; Bacillati; Bacillota; Bacilli; Caryophanales; Staphylococcaceae
Description: partial 16S ribosomal RNA
Rfam family: Bacterial small subunit ribosomal RNA
Source: RNAcentral